CCUACGGGAGGCAGCAGUGAGGAAUAUUGGUCAAUGGUCGGGAGACUGAACCAGCCAAGCCGCGUGAGGGAUGAAGGUACAGAGUAUCGUAAACCUCUUUUGUCAGGGAACAAAGGCGGGGACGUGUCCCCGGAUGAGUGUACCUGAAGAAAAAGCAUCGGCUAACUCCGUGCCAGCAGCCGCGGUAAUACGGAGGAUGCGAGCGUUAUCCGGAUUUAGUGGGUUUAAGGGGUGCGCAGGCGGUCUGUAAAGUCAGCGGUCAAAGCCCGGGGCUCACCCCCGGCCCGCCGUUGAAACUGGCAGUCUCGAGUUGGAGAGAAGUAUGCGGAAUGCGCGGUGUAGCGGUGAAAUGCAUAGAUAUCGCGCAGAACUCCGAUUGCGAAGGCAGCAUGCCGGCUCCACACUGACGCUGAGGCACGAAAGCGUGGGUAUCGAACAGGAUUAGAUACCCCAGUAGUC
RNAcentral lists this ribosomal RNA (459 nucleotides) under uncultured bacterium. RNAcentral's name for it is "partial 16S ribosomal RNA". It matches the Rfam family "Bacterial small subunit ribosomal RNA", at positions 338 to 795 of the family's 1533-position model. The record is from RNAcentral.